RNAcentral lists this ribosomal RNA (495 nucleotides) under uncultured bacterium. RNAcentral describes it as "partial 16S ribosomal RNA". It matches the Rfam family "Bacterial small subunit ribosomal RNA", at positions 28 to 507 of the family's 1533-position model. The record is from RNAcentral.
GACGAACGCUGGCGGCGUGCCUAAUACAUGCAAGUAGAACGCUGAAGGAGGAGCUUGCUUCUCUGGAUGAGUUGCGAACGGGUGAGUAACGCGUAGGUAACCUGCCUGGUAGCGGGGGAUAACUAUUGGAAACGAUAGCUAAUACCGCAUAAUAGUAGAUGUUGCAUGACAUUUGCUUAAAAGGUGCAAUUGCAUCACUACCAGAUGGACCUGCGUUGUAUUAGCUAGUUGGUGAGGUAACGGAGCACCAAGGCGACGAUACAUAGCCGACCUGAGAGGGUGGUCGGCCACACUGGGACGGAGACACGGCCCAGACUGCUUCGGGAGGCAGCAGUAGGGAAUCUUCGGCAAUGGACGGAAGACUGACCGAGCAACGCCGCGUGAGUGAAGAAGGUCUUCGGGUCGUAAAGCUCUGUUGUAAGAGAAGAACGAGUGUUAGAGUGGAAAGUUCACACUGUGACGGUAUCUGACCAGAAAGGGACGGCUAACUACGUG